This 1218-nucleotide ribosomal RNA is filed under the name Bacteroidales bacterium. RNAcentral describes it as "bacterial SSU rRNA". It matches the Rfam family "Bacterial small subunit ribosomal RNA", at positions 335 to 1533 of the family's 1533-position model. Lineage: Bacteria; Pseudomonadati; Bacteroidota; Bacteroidia; Bacteroidales. The record is from RNAcentral.
ACUCCUACGGGAGGCAGCAGUGAGGAAUAUUGCGCAAUGGGCGAAAGCCUGACGCAGCGACGCCGCGUGGACGAUGAAGCCUUUAGGGGUGUAAAGUCCUUUCGACAGGGAAGAAUAAAUAUAAUAAUAACAAGAUUAUGUGAUGACUGUACCUGUGGAAGAAGCCCCGGCUAACUACGUGCCAGCAGCCGCGGUAAUACGUAGGGGGCGAGCGUUAUCCGGAAUUACUGGGUGUAAAGGGCGCGUAGGUGGUUGUAUAAGUCAGAUGUGAAAUUUCAGGGCUUAACUCUGAAAUUGCAUUUGAAACUAUAUAGCUCGAGUGCGGGAGAGGAGAGUAGAAUUCCCGGUGGAGCGGUGAAAUGCAUAGAUAUCGGGAGGAAAACCAAUGGCGAAGGCAGCUCUCUGGACCGCAACUGACACUGAGGCGCGAAAGCGUGGGUAGCAAACAGGAUUAGAGACCCUGGUAGUCCACGCUGUAAACGUUGGAUACUAGGUGUGGGGAGGAUUCAAUCUCUCUGUGCCGGAGCUAACGCAUUAAGUAUCCCACCUGGGGACUACGAGCGCAAGCUUAAAACUCAAAGGAAUUGACGGGGGCCCGCACAAGCGGUGGAGCAUGUGGUUCAAUUCGAUGCAACGCGAAGAACCUUACCUGGGCUUGACAUUCUGCUGACUGCUGUAGAGAUACGGUUUUCCCGCAAGGGACAGUAGAACAGGUGCUGCAUGGCUGUCGUCAGCUCGUGUCGUGAGAUGUUGGCUUAAGUGCCGCAACGAGCGCAACCCAUGUCCAUAGUUGCCAACAGGUAAUGCUGGGAACUCUAUGGAGACCGCCGGUGAUAAACCGGAGGAAGGUGUGGAUGACGUCAAGUCCUCAUGGCCUUUAUGUCCAGGGCUACACACGUGCUACAAUGGUCGGUACAGCGGGAAGCUAACUCGCGAGAGCAAGCAAAUCCCUUAAAGCCGACCUCAGUUCGGAUUGUAGUCUGCAACUCGACUACAUGAAGUUGGAAUCGCUAGUAAUCGCGGAUCAGCUAUGCCGCGGUGAAUACGUUCUCGGGCCUUGUACACACCGCCCGUCACACCACGAAAGUCAGUAACACCCGAAGACGCUGAGCUAAUCUGAAUAACAUUAGAAGGCAGGUGUCUAAGGUGGGAUUGGUGAUUGGGGUGAAGUCGUAACAAGGUAACCGUAGGGGAACCUGCGGUUGGAUCACCUCCUUU